RNAcentral lists this unclassified non-coding RNA (214 nucleotides) under Hevea brasiliensis (rubber tree). The record is from RNAcentral. Lineage: Eukaryota; Viridiplantae; Streptophyta; Magnoliopsida; Malpighiales; Euphorbiaceae.
AUUUAAAAUCAAAGGUAUCGAAUGCUGAAAGUAAGACUGAGAGUACAGAAGAGCAAUGUAUAAUAUUAUCUGAAACAAAUAUGGAACUUGGUAGAGAAAUAAGUUUCUUAAGGUCUAGAGUGAAAGGCUUAGAGGCUUCUUUGGAUCAAGCUAACAACUCAAAAGCAGCAAGUGCAAAAGAAAUUAAUCUGAGGACCAGGCUUAUCAUGGAUAC